AAGCUUUGAUCCAGAGAUUUCCGAAUGGGGAAACCCAGCAUGAGUUAUGUCAUGUUAUCGAUAUGUGAAUACAUAGCAUAUCAGAAGGCACACCCGGAGAACUGAAACAUCUUAGUACCCGGAGGAAGAGAAAGAAAAUUCGAUUCCCUUAGUAGCGGCGAGCGAAACGGGAAGAGCCCAAACCAACAAGCUUGCUUGUUGGGGUUGUAGGACACUCUAUACGGAGUUACAAAGGACGACAUUAGACGAAUCAUCUGGAAAGAUGAAUCAAAGAAGGUAAUAAUCCUGUAGUCGAAAAUGUUGUCUCUCUUGAGUGGAUCCUGAGUACGACGGAGCACGUGAAAUUCCGUCGGAAUCUGGGAGGACCAUCUCCUAAGGCUAAAUACUCUCUAGUGACCGAUAGUGAACCAGUACCGUGAGGGAAAGGUGAAAAGCACCCCGGAAGGGGAGUGAAAUAGAACCUGAAACCGUGUGCUUACAAGUAGUCAGAGCCCGUUAAUGGGUGAUGGCGUGCCUUUUGUAGAAUGAACCGGCGAGUUACGAUUUGAUGCAAGGUUAAGCAGUAAAUGUGGAGCCGUAGCGAAAGCGAGUCUGAAUAGGGCGUUUAGUAUUUGGUCGUAGACCCGAAACCAGGUGAUCUACCCUUGGUCAGGUUGAAGUUCAGGUAACACUGAAUGGAGGACCGAACCGACUUACGUUGAAAAGUGAGCGGAUGAACUGAGGGUAGCGGAGAAAUUCCAAUCGAACCUGGAGAUAGCUGGUUCUCUCCGAAAUAGCUUUAGGGCUAGCCUCAAGUGAUGAUUAUUGGAGGUAGAGCACUGUUUGGACGAGGGGCCCCUCUCGGGUUACCGAAUUCAGACAAACUCCGAAUGCCAAUUAAUUUAACUUGGGAGUCAGAACAUGGGUGAUAAGGUCCGUGUUCGAAAGGGAAACAGCCCAGACCACCAGCUAAGGUCCCAAAAUAUAUGUUAAGUGGAAAAGGAUGUGGCGUUGCCCAGACAACUAGGAUGUUGGCUUAGAAGCAGCCAUCAUUUAAAGAGUGCGUAAUAGCUCACUAGUCGAGUGACACUGCGCCGAAAAUGUACCGGGGCUAAACAUAUUACCGAAGCUGUGGAUUGUCCUUUGGACAAUGGUAGGAGAGCGUUCUAAGGGCGUUGAAGCAUGAUCGUAAGGACAUGUGGAGCGCUUAGAAGUGAGAAUGCCGGUGUGAGUAGCGAAAGACGGGUGAGAAUCCCGUCCACCGAUUGACUAAGGUUUCCAGAGGAAGGCUCGUCCGCUCUGGGUUAGUCGGGUCCUAAGCUGAGGCCGACAGGCGUAGGCGAUGGAUAACAGGUUGAUAUUCCUGUACCACCUAUAAUCGUUUUAAUCGAUGGGGGGACGCAGUAGGAUAGGCGAAGCGUGCGAUUGGAUUGCACGUCUAAGCAGUAAGGCUGAGUAUUAGGCAAAUCCGGUACUCGUUAAGGCUGAGCUGUGAUGGGGAGAAGACAUUGUGUCUUCGAGUCGUUGAUUUCACACUGCCGAGAAAAGCCUCUAGAUAGAAAAUAGGUGCCCGUACCGCAAACCGACACAGGUAGUCAAGAUGAGAAUUCUAAGGUGAGCGAGCGAACUCUCGUUAAGGAACUCGGCAAAAUGACCCCGUAACUUCGGGAGAAGGGGUGCUCUUUAGGGUUAACGCCCAGAAGAGCCGCAGUGAAUAGGCCCAAGCGACUGUUUAUCAAAAACACAGGUCUCUGCUAAACCGUAAGGUGAUGUAUAGGGGCUGACGCCUGCCCGGUGCUGGAAGGUUAAGAGGAGUGGUUAGCUUCUGCGAAGCUACGAAUCGAAGCCCCAGUAAACGGCGGCCGUAACUAUAACGGUCCUAAGGUAGCGAAAUUCCUUGUCGGGUAAGUUCCGACCCGCACGAAAGGCGUAACGAUUUGGGCACUGUCUCAACGAGAGACUCGGUGAAAUCAUAGUACCUGUGAAGAUGCAGGUUACCCGCGACAGGACGGAAAGACCCCGUGGAGCUUUACUGUAGCCUGAUAUUGAAAUUCGGCACAGCUUGUACAGGAUAGGUAGGAGCCUUUGAAACGUGAGCGCUAGCUUACGUGGAGGCGCUGGUGGGAUACUACCCUAGCUGUGUUGGCUUUCUAACCCGCACCACUUAUCGUGGUGGGAGACAGUGUCAGGCGGGCAGUUUGACUGGGGCGGUCGCCUCCUAAAAGGUAACGGAGGCGCUCAAAGGUUCCCUCAGAAUGGUUGGAAAUCAUUCAUAGAGUGUAAAGGCAUAAGGGAGCUUGACUGCGAGACCUACAAGUCGAGCAGGGUCGAAAGACGGACUUAGUGAUCCGGUGGUUCCGCAUGGAAGGGCCAUCGCUCAACGGAUAAAAGCUACCCCGGGGAUAACAGGCUUAUCUCCCCCAAGAGUUCACAUCGACGGGGAGGUUUGGCACCUCGAUGUCGGCUCAUCGCAUCCUGGGGCUGUAGUCGGUCCCAAGGGUUGGGCUGUUCGCCCAUUAAAGCGGUACGCGAGCUGGGUUCAGAACGUCGUGAGACAGUUCGGUCCCUAUCCGUCGUGGGCGUAGGAAAUUUGAGAGGAGCUGUCCUUAGUACGAGAGGACCGGGAUGGACAUACCUCUGGUGUACCAGUUGUCGUGCCAACGGCAUAGCUGGGUAGCUAUGUGUGGACGGGAUAAGUGCUGAAAGCAUCUAAGCAUGAAGCCCCCCUCAAGAUGAGAUUUCCCAACUUCGGUUAUAAGAUCCCUCAAAGAUGAUGAGGUUAAUAGGUUCGAGGUGGAAGCAUGGUGACAUGUGGAGCUGACGAAUACUAAUCGAUCGAAGACUUAAUCAA
This 2830-nucleotide ribosomal RNA is filed under the name Staphylococcus aureus. RNAcentral describes it as "partial 23S ribosomal RNA". It matches the Rfam family "Bacterial large subunit ribosomal RNA". Lineage: Bacteria; Bacillati; Bacillota; Bacilli; Caryophanales; Staphylococcaceae. The record is from RNAcentral.